GACGGACCGUACGAACGUUAUUCGGAAUUACUGGGCUUAAAGGGUGCGUAGGCGGCUCAGAAAGUUGAAUGUGAAAGCCCUCGGCUUAACCGAGGAAUUGCAUCCAAAACUACUGGGCUUGAGUGAGACAGAGGUGAGCGGAACUCACGGUGGAGCGGUGAAAUGCGUUGAUAUCGUGAGGAACACCGGUGGCGAAAGCGGCUCACUGGGUCUUUGCUGACGCUGAGGCACGAAAGCGUGGGGAGCAAACAGG
This 253-nucleotide ribosomal RNA is filed under the name uncultured bacterium. RNAcentral's name for it is "partial 16S ribosomal RNA". It matches the Rfam family "Bacterial small subunit ribosomal RNA", at positions 524 to 776 of the family's 1533-position model. The record is from RNAcentral.